CUAAGACAUGCGAGUCGAGCGUCUCUAGCUAUGCUUGAGACGCGGCAGACGGCUCAGUAACACGUGGCUAACCUACCCUCAGGACAAGUACAAACCCGGGAAACUGGGGCUAAUACUCGAUAGGCGAAGGCGCCUGGAAUGGUUCUUCACCCAAAGGGCUUUAGAAACAUGCUUCUAGAGUCGCCUGGGGAUGGGGCCGCGUCCGAUCAGGUUGUUGGUGAGGUAACGGCUCACCAAGCCUAUAACCGGUACGGGCCGUGAGAGCGGUAGCCCGGAGAUGGGUACUGAGACAAGGACCCAGGCCCUACGGGGCGCAGCAGUCGCGAAAACUCCGCAAUGCACGAAAGUGUGACGGGGCUACCCCGAGUGCCGUCCGCUGAGGAUGGCUUUUCCUUGGUGUAACUAGCCGGGGGAAUAAGGAGAGGGCAAGACUGGUGUCAGCAGCCGCGGUAA
RNAcentral lists this ribosomal RNA (453 nucleotides) under uncultured archaeon. Its description in RNAcentral is "bacterial SSU rRNA". It matches the Rfam family "Archaeal small subunit ribosomal RNA", at positions 44 to 473 of the family's 1478-position model. The record is from RNAcentral.